This 993-nucleotide ribosomal RNA is filed under the name Triticum aestivum (bread wheat). RNAcentral's name for it is "partial small subunit ribosomal RNA". The record is from RNAcentral. Lineage: Eukaryota; Viridiplantae; Streptophyta; Magnoliopsida; Poales; Poaceae.
AUGGAGCCGCAUGCCGAGUCCAAGCCCAUCCCGCUGAUGACGCCGUACAAGAUGGGCUCCUCGCUCGACCUCGCCCACCGGGUGGUGCUGGCGCCGCUGACGCGGCAGCGCUCCUACGGCAACGUGCCGCAGCCGCACGCCGCCGUCUACUACGGCCCCGUCGUCGACGCCGUGCACGCCAAGGGCGCCCUCUUCUUCUGCCAGCUCUGGCACGUCGGCCGCGUCUCGUCCUACGGCUUCCAGCCCGGCGGCGCCGCGCCCGUGUCCAGCACCCAGAGGAUGGUCGGCCCGCAGGUCAGGCACGACGGCACCACCGAGGAGUUCUCGCCGCCCAGGAGGCUGGCCGUGGAGGAGAUCCCCAUGAUCGUCGACGACUUCAGGAAAGCUGCACGGAACGCCAUCAACGCCGGCUUCGACGGCGUGGAGAUCCACGGCGGCAACGGGUACCUCAUCGAGCAGUUCCUCAAGGACAGUGCCAACGACCGGGACGACGGCUAUGGCGGCAGCCUGGAGAACCGGUGCCGCUUCGCGCUGGAGGUGGUGGACGCCGUCGCCAAGGAGGUGGGCGCCCACCGUGUGGGUAUCCGCCUCUCGCCCUUCAUGGACUACAUGGACUGCCACGACUCCGACCCGCACGCGCUCGGUCUCCACAUGGCCACGAAGCUCAACGACCACGGCAUCCUCUACCUCCACAUGAUUGAGCCCCGGAUGGCCCUCGUUGACGGCCGGCGGGUGGUCCCGCACCGACUACUUCCCUACAGGGAGGCCUUCAAGGGCACCUUUAUUGCGAAUGGCGGGUACGACCGGGAGGAUGGGGACAAGGCGGUCGCAUCGGGGUACGCCGACCUCGUCUCGUUUGGGCGGCUAUUCCUGGCAAACCCAGACCUGCCCAAGAGGCUAGAGCUCAACGCGCCGCUUAACAAGUACAAUAGGAUGACGUUCUACAUCUCCGAUCCCGUCGUCGGCUACACCGACUACCCGUUUCUUCCUUGA